GGAAGGUCUGAGAAGGCAGAACAGGAGCUCAAUACAGGCUGGGGGGGCUUCUGGCAAUUCUCUCAGGUUUAGAAAAAUAGUUACAACAUUUCUUGCCACUCUUUUGUGAGCGCAAUUGAACUGUCAUGACUCAAGACACUAAAGAAUAGAAAGAAUGGGGUAGGAGAGGAACACUGUCCUGGCUCCGGAGGGGUGAGAUUCUCCUCUGGUGCCUGAUCAGAGCCCUCUGGGGAGCCCAGGAGGACAUGAGGGGGACCCCUUUUCUAGUAGAUCUUUGACUCCAGAAUCUAGGAGCCCUGUUGCAGAGGGAGGCCCUGACAUCUGGAUUUUGACACAGACCUGAGCCUGGAGCUGUUGGAAACUCAUUUCCGGGACAGAUGUGGAAUGCUGGACAAUCAAACGUCGCCGGGGCCUUUGGAGCGCUCCCUGUGUCCUGUUGCAGUGGCUGCAGUGACUUUGGUCUCCCCUAAUGACAGAAGCACAGGAGAAAGCCCAGCUCUUAGUUCCCGCUUUCCUCCAAGUUGUCCUCAUGAGGGGGCUGGACCAAAUUUCAAGAACUGAAACUUUAACCUGCUGAGUCUCAAUAUUCUCUAGGUGAAGACCUAGGUAAGCCUGUUGGAUUUGGCAACAGAAAAAUCAUCAGUGACUUUGACAUGAGAAGACUUCGUGGAAUAGUAGAGAUGAAAGUCAUAUUGGAAUAGGGUGGGUGUGAACAGGUUAAGGGAAUAGAAAUAGCAUUUUGGGGGCAACUCUUUCUAGAAGUUUGGCUAUGAAGGAAAGCAAAGAAAUGAGGUAGAAUAUGAAGAGAUAUGAUAUAGGUCAAGGAAGAAUUGUAAGAGUGAGAUACCAGAGCAUGUUUGUAUGCUGGUGGGAACGCCUAUGCUGAUACAUAUAUUUCCCAUCCUUAAGACAGGUAUAUUUUUCACAGUAAAUUAACAAGCUGGCUUUCUAUGUCUGCCUGAGUACUGUUUUAAUUAGCAUGAGUCAGAGCCCAGUGUCUCAGCUCUAACCAGCCUUUUUUUUUCACUGUCGCCCAGGCUGGAGUGCAGUGGCACGAUCUUGGCUUGCUGCAACCUCUGCCUCCCAGGUUCAAGAGAUUCUUCUGCCUCAGCCUCCCGAGUAGCUGGGAUUACAAGCGCCUGCCACCACACCCGGCUGA
RNAcentral lists this long non-coding RNA (1159 nucleotides) under Macaca mulatta (Rhesus monkey). Its description in RNAcentral is "lncRNA (ENSMMUG00000058009.1)". Lineage: Eukaryota; Metazoa; Chordata; Mammalia; Primates; Cercopithecidae. The record is from RNAcentral.